RNAcentral lists this ribosomal RNA (453 nucleotides) under Rhinella marina (marine toad). Its description in RNAcentral is "partial 12S ribosomal RNA". It matches the Rfam family "Bacterial small subunit ribosomal RNA", at positions 875 to 1522 of the family's 1533-position model. The record is from RNAcentral. Lineage: Eukaryota; Metazoa; Chordata; Amphibia; Anura; Bufonidae.
GGGAACUACGAGCUAAGCUUAAAACCCAAAGGACUUGACGGUACCCCAUAUCCCCCUAGAGGAGCCUGUCCUAUAAUCGAUAAUCCACGUUUAACCUCACCAUUUCUAGUUAAUCAGCCUGUAUACCUCCGUCGUCAGCUUACCACGUGAGCGCCAAUUAGUGAGCUUAAUGUCUUUCACCAACACGUCAGGUCAAGGUGCAGCAAAUGAAAUGGGAAGAGAUGGGCUACACUUUCUAUAUUAGAAAAAACGAAAAACUAUUUAUGAAAACUAGUUGGAAGGCGGAUUUAGCAGUAAAAAGGAAUCAAAAUGUCCAUUUUAACCCGGCACUGGGGUGUGUACACACCGCCCGUCACCCUCUUCAAGGCUUCUUACCUAGUUCUUAACAAACUAAAGCAUUACAGAAGAGGCAAGUCGUAACAUGGUAAGUAUACCGGAAGGUGUGCUUGGAAA